RNAcentral lists this ribosomal RNA (119 nucleotides) under Pteropus alecto (black flying fox). Lineage: Eukaryota; Metazoa; Chordata; Mammalia; Chiroptera; Pteropodidae. The record is from RNAcentral.
GUCUACGGCCAUGACACCCUGAACGCGCCUGAUCUCAUCCGAUCUCAGAAGUUUAACAGGGUCAGGUCUGGUUAGUACUUGGAUAGGAGACCACCUAGGAAUUCUGGGUUCUGUAGGCU